UACAGAGACCUCAAGCGUUAUCCGGAAUCAUUGGGCGUAAAGCGUACCGAUAGGUGGUUGUAUAAGUCAGAAGUGAAAUCUCCGAGCUCAACUCGGAAUCUGUCUUUUGAAACUAUACAACUAGAGGGGCAAAGAGGAAGCUGGAACGAACGGUGUAGUAGUGAAAUGCGUUGAUAUCGUUCGGAACACCAAUAGCGAAGGCAGGCUUCUGGGUGCCGCCUGACACUGCUAGGACGAAAGCGUGGGGAGCGAAUGGG
Molecule: ribosomal RNA, 257 nt
Filed under: uncultured bacterium
Lineage: Bacteria
Description: partial 16S ribosomal RNA
Rfam family: Bacterial small subunit ribosomal RNA
Source: RNAcentral